AUUGAACGCUGGCGGCAUGCCUUACACAUGCAAGUCGAACGGCAGCGGGCCUUCGGGUGCCGGCGAGUGGCGAACGGGUGAGUAAUGCAUCGGAACGUGCCAUUGAGUGGGGGAUAACGUAGCGAAAGUUACGCUAAUACCGCAUAUUCUGUGAGCAGGAAAGCAGGGGACCGCAAGGCCUUGCGCUCUUUGAGCGGCCGAUGUCAGAUUAGCUAGUUGGUGAGGUAAAGGCUUACCAAGGCGACGAUCUGUAGCGGGUCUGAGAGGAUGAUCCGCCACACUGGAACUGAGACACGGUCCAGACUCCUACGGGAGGCAGCAGUGGGGAAUUUUGGACAAUGGGCGCAAGCCUGAUCCAGCCAUGCCGCGUGAGUG
RNAcentral lists this ribosomal RNA (375 nucleotides) under uncultured bacterium. Its description in RNAcentral is "bacterial SSU rRNA". It matches the Rfam family "Bacterial small subunit ribosomal RNA", at positions 30 to 407 of the family's 1533-position model. The record is from RNAcentral.